AUUGUGUUAUCUGAGAGUGCCAGAAUUUUUACUUGUUCAAAAAUUUUAGCUAUUAAUUUAAGCUCACCUGGCCCGAAGGGCCAAGUGAGCUUUUCUCAUCACUUGGUGUCCGUCGUCGUCGUCGUCAAUGUCCGUCGUCGUUAGCUUUUACAAAAAUCUUCUCCUCUCAAACCACUGGGCCAAAUUUAUCCAAACUUGGCCACAAUCAUCAUUAGGGUAUCUAGUUUAAAGAAUGUGUCCGAUGACCCCGCCAACCAACCAAAAUGGCCGCCAUGGCUAAAAAUAGAACAUAGGAGUAAAAUGUAGAUUUUGGCUUACAUCUCUGAAACCAAAGCAUUUAGAGAAAAUCUGACAUAUGGUAAAACUGAUUAUCAGGUCAAGAUCUAUCUGCCCUGAAAUUUUCAGACAAAUCUGACAACCCGUUGUUGGGUUGCUGCCCCUGAAUCGGUAAUUUUAAGGAAAUUUUGCAGUUUUUAUACGACCGCAAAAAUUAAAAAUUUUUUGGUCGUAUAUUGGUAUGACGUUGGCGUCGUCGUCGUCGUCGUCGUCGUCGUCGUCGUCGUCUGGCGUCGUCCGGCAUCGUCCGAAGACACAUUGGUUUUCGCACUCUAACUUUAGUUUAAGUGAAUGGAUCUCCAUGAAAUUUUACCAUAAGGUUCAAUACCACGAAAGGACGGUGGGGAUUGAUUUUGGGGGUUAUGGUACCAACAGUUAAGGAAUUAGGGGCCAAAAAGGGGCCAAAAAUAAGCAUUUUUGUAACUUCCAGACAAUAACUUGUGUGUAAGUGUAUGGAUCUCUCUGACAUUGUACCACAAGGUUCCAUAUCACAAAGGGAAGGCUGUAAUUGAUUUUGGGGGUAAUUGCCUCAAAAUUUUAGGAAUUAGGGGCCAAAAAAGGGGCAAAAAACAAGCAUUUUUCUAGUUUCAUGACAAUAACUUGUGUGUAAGUGUUUGGAUAUUUCUGAAAUUGUACUACAAGGUUCCAUAUCACAAAGGGAAAGCUGGAAUUGAGUUUGAGGGUAAUUGCCCGAAACGUUUAGGAAUUGGGGGCCAAAAAGGGGCCAAAAAUAAGCAUUUUUCUAGUUUCCAGACAAUAACUUGUGUUCAAGUGUAUGGAUCUCUCUGAAAUUGUACUGCAAGGUACCAUACCACAAAGGGAAGGCUGGGAUUGAGUUUGGGGGUGAUGAAUCAUAAGGGGGUUCAAAAAAUUUGGGGGGGGGGAUUUUUUUUUUUCUUUUUUUUUCUUUUUUUCCUUUUUUUUUUCUUUUAAAAUUUUCCAUUUUAAGUUGGUUAUUUCUGAUUAAUAUUUAAAAGCAAAUAAUAAUGAUAUGGUAGGAGAUACACACCAAACAGGAUGUGUAAAUUAUUAUAUAAUAAGUAUUGUGCAAUAGCAAGAAAUUUUCAAUUGCACAGUAUUGCACAAUUGCAAGAAAUCUUCAAUUGCACAGUAUUGCGCAAUAGCAAGAAAUCUUCAAUUGCACAGUAUUGCGCAAUAGCAAGAAAUAUCCAAUAGCACAAUAUUGCGCAAUAGCAAGAAA
Molecule: long non-coding RNA, 1537 nt
Organism: Mytilus californianus (California mussel)
Lineage: Eukaryota; Metazoa; Mollusca; Bivalvia; Mytilida; Mytilidae
Exons: 2
Source: RefSeq, a predicted model, not a curated record